This 404-nucleotide long non-coding RNA is filed under the name Mytilus galloprovincialis (Mediterranean mussel). Lineage: Eukaryota; Metazoa; Mollusca; Bivalvia; Mytilida; Mytilidae. The record is from RNAcentral.
GUGUUUUUUUGCUUCUUUUUUUUUAUGAAAAUUUAGGGCUCUUUUACUUGAAAUGAGGGUAAUUUUUUGGGGGUCAAAUUUUUUUUUUUUUUGGGGGGGGCGCUGGAGUCGUUCAAGUACUAUACUACUCCCCUUAGGGGAAAAAAUAAGUUUUAUAAAAAACCCCAGGAUUAAGGUUUUGGUGUGCUCUUUACAAAAAAAUUUUUUUAUUUUUUUAUGGGGGGUAUAAAUACAAAGUGUGUUUUUUUUCUUCUUAAUUUUGAAGUUAAAAAUCACACAAAAAUGUUGGUAAAAUUUUUAUUUUGGAUGUAAAAAGGGUUUUUUUUUCUUUAAAAUGGGGGGUCAAAAAUUGAAGAUAAUUUUUUUUUUUUGUGGGGGGCUAAAGGAGUGGUAUAUUGUGUGGU